GAAGGAGGUCUGAAGGAGGGAAAAACAAUGAAGAAAUUCUUAAUAUACUCUUUAUACGAAAAUGAUGACUUCAAGGACUCAGGAACCAACAUUGCUAAAGAGUAUUCUUCUAAGAAGAACACACGCAUGACUCCAUGCAUGGUUUUGGGGAGCAAAAUCAUCUGAAGAACAUAUCUCCGUGCUGCAGCUGGCCGGCUGUGAGAGGUUAUUACUUAAAAAUUGCCUGCGAUUGCUGAUUUAGUGUCUGUGUGAAAUGCUGUAUUGUCUGGACUCCUGUAUUUGCAAACAGAGCAGAUAGCAGAAGUGGAAGCACUUCCCGCACAGCUUCUUGGCUGCGACCUGGACUGACCCUAUGAAUGGCAAGUGGGGGUGUUCCUGCACGCCGGUCUCAGUCAGUUCCCUCAGCCCCUCUGUCCUCCUGGAAGUCGUCGUUUUCUGCGUUCCUGUGUCAUUUCUCACCUUCCUUGUACCAUUUACCAGUGCAAGCUCCCUUGGAAGUGUUCCUUCAACUUUGCAUGCACGUUAACAAUUAAAUGUAAGUUCCCUCUUUUAAUCUGCUGUGAUUAUUUUAAAUAAUUAAAAUUAAGAGGCCCUUUUCCCACCCGAAGGCAAG
This 613-nucleotide long non-coding RNA is filed under the name Anas platyrhynchos (mallard). Its description in RNAcentral is "lncRNA (ENSAPLG00020013791.1)". The record is from RNAcentral. Lineage: Eukaryota; Metazoa; Chordata; Aves; Anseriformes; Anatidae.